UGUUAAAAAUUUCGUCUAUUUUUAUCGUUAAAAAUUGGCUUGGUUGAUAAAAUAACUAUAUAGUUACACAUGGUGUGUCAUAUGUAUUUUAUACUGACCUACUGUGACCAAUUUUUAAUAGUAAAAAUGGACGUAGUUUUUAACA
Gossypium hirsutum (cotton) is the source of this 145-nucleotide non-coding RNA. NCBI's taxonomy places the organism in Eukaryota, Viridiplantae, Streptophyta, Magnoliopsida, Malvales, Malvaceae. The record is from Rfam.